This is a long non-coding RNA of Pezoporus flaviventris, 749 nucleotides long. RefSeq lists it as uncharacterized. The record is from RefSeq and is a predicted model, not a curated record. NCBI's taxonomy places the organism in Eukaryota, Metazoa, Chordata, Aves, Psittaciformes, Psittacidae. The transcript is spliced from 2 exons.
UCUGUCAUUCUGUAGCUACCCUCAGCUAGCUGGAAAUUGUAUCUAAGGCUCAUCACAUCAAAGAAAGGGACAGCAUUCAACGCAUACAGUAAUCUUUACAGAUGUGACCAUCCACCUUGAAAAUGCCACUGCAAAGUUUCAUUAUUAAUAGCAGCAUUAAAGUGUUUUGUGCUUUCUGAAUGAUGAGUUUUGCAAAUAAUCUUGUGAGAGAAUAUUGACAUUAGUGUACCACAGCUCUACAGACACGUGAAAAACACAGGUAAAACACCUACACAAAGUUCUUGUUCAAUGCGACAACAGAGUUGUCACCAACAGGGGAGAAGGACGGAAGCUAUCAAGGCCAGCAGAAGAAUAAUGGAAGAUGGUAAACAUGUACUUGCAAUCUCUUGAUAGGAAGAACAAGCGAUGGAGUUAGAUAAGAAGACAACGCUGGUUGUAUCUCUAAGCAACAGGCAAUCAAACGGCCAGAUAAGUAUCUUCAUAAAGUGCAACAGACUCAAAUGCAUGGGUCAUAACUGAAGAAUCACUUCCUGGUUCAGCUUAGGCAGUAAAAGUUUAUGACCUACUUGAAAAUCCUUCAAACCUAAAAAUGUAUUUUCCAAUAGAUUUGUUUUCCAUAAAGAAUGUAAGCCAUUUAGGGCAUGCCGUGGUAAUAGCAGGAAAUGAGAAUACUUACAGUAGUGGACGAGAACACAAAAAAUGCAGUGUCGUACAUGAACUGUAUUUACAAUAAAACCUUCAGAUUCAGA